RNAcentral lists this ribosomal RNA (254 nucleotides) under uncultured bacterium. Its description in RNAcentral is "partial 16S ribosomal RNA". It matches the Rfam family "Bacterial small subunit ribosomal RNA", at positions 524 to 776 of the family's 1533-position model. The record is from RNAcentral.
UACGGGGGGAGCAAGCGUUGUUCGGAUUUACUGGGCGUAAAGGGCGCGUAGGCGGUCGUGACAAGUCACUUGUGAAAUCUCCGGGCUUAACUCGGAACGGUCAAGUGAUACUGUCGGACUAGAGUACAGAAGGGGCAACUGGAAUUCUCGGUGUAGCGGUGAAAUGCGUAGAUAUCGAGAGGAACACCUGCGGCGAAGGCGGGUUGCUGGGCUGAUACUGACGCUGAGGCGCGAAAGCUAGGGGAGCGAACGGG